UACAGAGGAUGCAAGCGUUAUCCGGAGUGAUUGGGCGUAAAGCGUCUGUAGGUGGCUUUUUAAGUCCGCCGUCAAAUCCCAGGGCUCAACUCUGGACAGGCGGUGGAAACUACCAAGCUGGAGUACGGUAGGGGCAGAGGGAAUUUCCGGUGGAGCGGUGAAAUGCGUAGAGAUCGGAAAGAAGACCGGUGGCGAAGGCGGCCUGCUGGGCACUAACUGACACUGAGGCGCGACAGCGUGGGGAGCAAACAGG
Molecule: ribosomal RNA, 253 nt
Filed under: uncultured bacterium
Lineage: Bacteria
Description: partial 16S ribosomal RNA
Rfam family: Bacterial small subunit ribosomal RNA
Source: RNAcentral